RNAcentral lists this ribosomal RNA (116 nucleotides) under Pteropus alecto (black flying fox). The record is from RNAcentral. Lineage: Eukaryota; Metazoa; Chordata; Mammalia; Chiroptera; Pteropodidae.
GUCUACGGCCAUGCCACCCUGAACAAGCUUGAUCCCAUCUGAUCUCAGGAGCUAAGGGUCGGGCCUGGUUAGUACUUGGAUGGGAGACCACCUAAGAAGAUCAGAUGCAGUAGGCA